This is a non-coding RNA of Procambarus clarkii (red swamp crayfish), 72 nucleotides long. The record is from the annotation of a RefSeq genome assembly. Lineage: Eukaryota; Metazoa; Arthropoda; Malacostraca; Decapoda; Cambaridae.
GGUGGUGUAGCUCAGUUGUAGAGCAUUCACCUUGCAUGUGAAAAGGCCCGGGUUCGAUCCCCGGCAACUCCA